CUUGGCUUCAGAAAGCUAGACGGCGCCACAGUUCGUAUUCUAAAACGUGACAAAAACCAGCUAAUUCCCAUCUCAGUAAAAAGAAAGAGUAAGUAAAACGAUUAGAUUGACUUUAAAACAAAGAAACUUCAAACAAUUCACACAAUAGGAUAUGAGCCCGUAGGCUCUCUUCAAAUGAGAGACCGAAUCUUACGGAUCUCUAAAGUAUUGAAAGAUUUCCCUUAUAACAAAAAAACUUCGAAAACUUUGAUUGUUAAAGGUAUAUGAAUGUACGAAAAAAGCAAUUGUACUCGAAAUCUUCCUUUAUGUAGGAAAGCUUGAGGCAAUUAGAAAUAACGAAGCUUUCAUGUGUUAUGUUCGAAUUUUCACAAUAGAAAGCUUUCCAACGAAAUACAUGACACUUGUGUUAAGUCUCAUUAUCCCAAAACUUCCUCUCUAGCUAUUACUGAUGGAUCAAGCUUUAUGAGAAUGACAGUUCGGUAUGGAUAUUGCGAAAGAGGCACCGAGUGGGCAGAAGCUUUACAAGGCUAGAUUGUUAGCUAGAAGUCUUAAUAUAACAAAAGCUGUGCACAAAAAAGCCAGAGGCUCUUAACAAACGUAUAUUCAGCAGUUAUUAUCAUUUAACUGAAGAAUUGUAUUUGUAUUCGAGCGAAAGUUACAUUUUGAUUAGCACUUGGACAAGAUUCAACAUGGCAGCCGUAUAUUCAUAAAUAUAUGCUUCAUUUUCAACUUACAAAUUGGGCACUGUCAAGGAAUCCUUCGAUGAUUCCAGCUAAAUACGCGCAACAAUUUAGCUGAUUCAUUUCCUUAGGAACUGAAAUAAAUUUGUUAAGAAGAGGAUUGUUAUCAACUAUCAUGUCUAUAGCUCCAGUUAGUUAAAAACACGAAUAAUAAAUAAAAAAAUUCAAGAACGCGUAUGAUAGCUUGUUCGAAUAUUUGCAUAGCAAUAGAAAACAUACAUUCAUCCGAAGCCUCCUUAGACUUCUCCAAGGAGUCCGCGUGUUUCCCAAAAAGAUAUUUCCAUACAGAUGAGUGAAUGUAUUGUAAAAUGCCUAAUAUACGAGUUUCACGUUUGGGAUUUCGCUCCCUCCAAACAACUAAUUCAACUAAUUUUUGACCAACUCUAUAACCGUGUUCGUUUAAUCUAUAGCAUUAGUAAACAGUUCGGUCUGAAAUGUUGACGCUUACUUUUCUUCGAAUUCUUGGAUUCCUGAUACUUGGGACUGAAUCCUUUGAAUUAAUUCACUAAAAAUAAAUGCAAACGAUGAAAGAUUGACGUCGGAAUUCCGAAUUUUAUUCAAAUUUUGCUCAUAAACACUCUUUCCCAUUAAGGGUGCUGUAGACUUGAGGGAUUCAGAGACUGAGCUUCUGAAUAAUUCUUUAUUAGUGGAUUGCAUUUUAUAUUUUUAGCCUGAAUUAGAAAAGUUCCGGGG
Molecule: non-coding RNA, 1433 nt
Organism: Schizosaccharomyces pombe (fission yeast)
Lineage: Eukaryota; Fungi; Ascomycota; Schizosaccharomycetes; Schizosaccharomycetales; Schizosaccharomycetaceae
Source: the annotation of a GenBank genome assembly